UACGGAGGGUGCGAGCGUUGUCCGGAUUCACUGGGUUUAAAGGGUGCGUAGGUGGGUUUGUAAGUCAGUGGUGAAAUCUCCAAGCUUAACUUGGAAACUGCCGUUGAUACUAUAAAUCUUGAAUGUUGUGGAGGUGAGCGGAAUAUGUCAUGUAGCGGUGAAAUGCUUAGAUAUGACAUAGAACACCAAUUGCGAAGGCAGCUCACUACACAAAGAUUGACACUGAGGCACGAAAGCGUGGGGAUCAAACAGG
Molecule: ribosomal RNA, 253 nt
Filed under: uncultured bacterium
Lineage: Bacteria
Description: partial 16S ribosomal RNA
Rfam family: Bacterial small subunit ribosomal RNA
Source: RNAcentral